AUUGAACGCUGGCGGCAUGCCUUACACAUGCAAGUCGAACGGUAACGGGCCUUCGGGUGCCGACGAGUGGCGAACGGGUGCGUAAUACAUCGGAACGUGCCCGAUCGUGGGGGAUAACGAGGCGAAAGCUUUGCUAAUACCUCAUACGAUCUACGGAUGAAAGCCGGGGACCGCAAGGCCUUGCGCGGACGGAGCGGCCGAUGGCAGAUUAGGUAGUUGGUGGGAUAAAAGCUUACCAAGCCGACGAUCUGUAGCUGGUCUGAGAGGAUGAUCAGCCACACUGGGACUGAGACACGGCCCAGACUCCUACGGGAGGCAGCAGUGGGGAAUUUUGGACAAUGGGCGCAAGCCUGAUCCAGCCAUGCCGCGUGCAGGAUGAAGGCCUUCGGGUUGUAAACUGCUUUUGUACGGAAAGAAAAGCCUUCUUUUAAUACAGGAGGGUCAUGACGGUACCGUAAGAAUAAGCACCGGCUAACUACGUG
This 482-nucleotide ribosomal RNA is filed under the name uncultured bacterium. RNAcentral describes it as "partial 16S ribosomal RNA". It matches the Rfam family "Bacterial small subunit ribosomal RNA", at positions 30 to 507 of the family's 1533-position model. The record is from RNAcentral.